RNAcentral lists this ribosomal RNA (253 nucleotides) under uncultured bacterium. RNAcentral describes it as "partial 16S ribosomal RNA". It matches the Rfam family "Bacterial small subunit ribosomal RNA", at positions 524 to 776 of the family's 1533-position model. The record is from RNAcentral.
UACGAAGGGGGCUAGCGUUGUUCGGAUUUACUGGGCGUAAAGCGCACGUAGGCGGAUCGAUCAGUCAGGGGUGAAAUCCCAGAGCUCAACUCUGGAACUGCCUUUGAUACUGUCGAUCUGGAGUAUGGAAGAGGUGAGUGGAAUUCCGAGUGUAGAGGUGAAAUUCGUAGAUAUUAGGAAGAACACCGGUGGCGAAGGCGGCCCACUGGCUCGAUACUGACGCUGAGGUGCGAAAGCGUGGGGAGCAAACAGG